This is a non-coding RNA of Aminobacter sp., 361 nucleotides long. The record is from Rfam. Lineage: Bacteria; Pseudomonadati; Pseudomonadota; Alphaproteobacteria; Hyphomicrobiales; Phyllobacteriaceae.
GACCUUUUCUUUUGCGCCGAGCCUCCCUAUAUUCGACGCGUCAGCUUGACUGACUAUGGCGAUAAACUGCCGAUGAAAUAAGCCAUUCGGACCCGGGGGCGGUACCCGGCGCCUCCACCAAAAGCCGCCGCGCAAUGAGCGACGGUUUUUGCUGGGGGCGAAAUAGGAUCGACGAGGGUGUAAAGAUCGGACUUUUGCUCGGCAUUGUACCACCGUUAUCGGGCUAAACUUGUAGUUGCAAACGACAACUAUGCGGAAGCACGUCUCGCUGCUUAAUGCGGCGCGAUAGCUUCAAAUCAAGUCCUAGCGGUUCGCACUGCUAGGCGGGGUUCGGAGGUACCUGGCAACAGAAACCUCCACU